Solanum pennellii is the source of this 1129-nucleotide long non-coding RNA. RefSeq lists it as uncharacterized. The record is from RefSeq and is a predicted model, not a curated record. Lineage: Eukaryota; Viridiplantae; Streptophyta; Magnoliopsida; Solanales; Solanaceae. The transcript is spliced from 2 exons.
CCAUUUUCAAUACCUGACCCAACCCCUUUCUUCUCCGCAACCAGAAAAUGCCCAACGCGCUCUGCAGAAAAUCUCCAUCCCAACGACCCAAAGCUUCCUCCGUUUCGUCACUUUCUUCUUCAACGCGUAAAAUCCAAGGAGGAUGGAAUUGUGUGACCAGAUAACAGUGUGUCUAAGGCAGUGAUACAACCUUCGCGCGUGAACAACCCGUCUUCUUCGUCCCUGUCUGUUCCGUACGAGCUUGAGAUGUAACGUAUCACGCGUUUUCGUCUUUGGUGGCUUGAGAUGGAGCCAUGUUGCACAAGGAGGACGUCGAAUUGAUCCCGUGUGUCGAUUAUCACAUUUCCUUUUCUGGAAUAAGGACGAAUUGGCAGAAAAGAGGUCUCCUCAUUUCGGGAAAAAGAUUUUGAAUUUUGAACCGAUGGGCCUCAUUUCAUCCGUUUUCAUCUUUCCUCCCAAACACCCGAAAACCCUAAAUUCCUUCCUAUAUAACUUCUCUUCUAUGUUUUCCCACAAAAAAAGGGGGGAGGAGAGAAAAAAGACAGAGGAAAUUUUAGAGAAGGAAAAAGGUUUACUAGGUGGCGGAAAUUUUAGGAUUUGUCCUUCAAGUUCCUUAAUUUCCAGUAGAUAUACGUAGUGAGAGUAUAGGAGGCAGAGAAUCCAUGCGUAAAAGACAUACACUCCCUCCUCUUAGAGACGAUUCAUUGGAAAUUCGCUAAGACCCCCGAGAACUCUCAGGGUCGCAGCUAGUGUUGAAGUUGCUUCCAAUUACUUGUCUCCCUGUUUCGCUGCUCUUAAGAAGGAUGAACUCCCUCCUUUUGCAUUCCAAGGGAGUCACAAAGACUCAUACUUCCUUCCAUCGAGUCGAGCAACUACUUGAAAAGGCGAACAGACCCAAAAUUGGAGAAUACAUGAAAGACCAAGGCGGAGAGUGGAAGAAUGGAUCUUCAAGGCCCAAAUUAUGUUUUUUAACAAAGAUUUGUAUUUUGUUGUUAUAGGGACUAAGCCCCUUUAUUAUUUUAUGUAUAACUUACAUAAAUCUCAUAGUGUAAAACCUAAAUUAUAUAAUAUCCCUUCUCUUUUCUAUUUUAUAAAAAUUCCUUAAAAAAGGAGUCAUCCGGAUACAUAA